CCUACGGGUGGCAGCAGUGAGGAAUAUUGGUCAAUGGCCGGAAGGCUGAACCAGCCAUGCCGCGUGAAGGUCAGUGCCCUAUGGGCGUUAAACUUCUUUUGUGCGGGAGCAAUAAUGGUCACGGGUUGCCAGAUGAGAGUACCUUACUAAUAAGCAUCGGCUAACUCCGUGCCAGCAGCCGCGGUAAUACGGGGGAUGCAAGCGUUAUCCGGGUUUUUUGGGUUUAAAGGGUGCGUAGGAUGUGAGGUUAGUCAGCGGUGGAAUGCCUCCGGUCAACGGGGUGAAGUGCAAUUGAUACUGCCUGGCUGGAGUGCGGAUGAGGUAGGAGGAAUGUGUGGUGUAGCGGUGAAAUGCAUAGAUAUCACGAAGAACACCGAUUGCGAAGGCAUCUCACGAAUCCGCGAUUGACGCUGAUGCACGAAAGCGUGGGUAUCAAACAGGAUUAGAUACCCGGGUAGUC
Molecule: ribosomal RNA, 460 nt
Filed under: uncultured bacterium
Lineage: Bacteria
Description: partial 16S ribosomal RNA
Rfam family: Bacterial small subunit ribosomal RNA
Source: RNAcentral